AUGAAAUCCAUUCUGCCUAUUUGCACCAAAUCAGAGUUUGGAGCUCAAGGCCUCCUUUUCCCGCAGCUGUCUCUAUAGGAGACUUCCAUUCCCAACCAUCUCUUUUAUCUCUUUCUUCCCUUUUUUCCAUGGCUAAGUCUGAUGAGGAAAGGAGCUGGGAUAUAUAUGCUGGUUCGAAGGGUGCUUUUUUCUCUUUGAUAAUACCCCCUGGUUCCUUGGAUGUUUUGGCUUUGAAACUUGCUCCCUCCAUGUGCUGGAACCUCCCAGCAGCUUUGUUCAAUGAUCCUGCAGACUUUCUCUACGUGGCUUCUAUUUUC
Molecule: long non-coding RNA, 317 nt
Filed under: Prunus dulcis (almond)
Lineage: Eukaryota; Viridiplantae; Streptophyta; Magnoliopsida; Rosales; Rosaceae
Description: sRNA ncRNA
Source: RNAcentral